This 161-nucleotide non-coding RNA is filed under the name Cucumis melo (muskmelon). RNAcentral describes it as "Eukaryotic small subunit ribosomal RNA". It matches the Rfam family "Eukaryotic small subunit ribosomal RNA", at positions 1667 to 1823 of the family's 1831-position model. RNAcentral also lists the same sequence under 1 other name. The record is from Rfam by way of RNAcentral. Lineage: Eukaryota; Viridiplantae; Streptophyta; Magnoliopsida; Cucurbitales; Cucurbitaceae.
CACCGCCCAUUGCUUCUACCAAUUGAAUGGUUUAGUGAAGUGUUCAAAUCGCGGCGACGUAGGAGGUUUGCUGUCCGCAACAUCGCAAGAAGUCCACUGAACCUUAUCAUUAAGAGGAAGGAGAAGUUUUAACAAGGUUUUCAUAGGUGAAUCUGCAGAAA